GGAAACGCUGGCCUCAUAACACAGCCCAGAGCUGGCUGCCUGCCUCCACUGCAGUGUGGCUCCUGUUAGCACAGUUCACUUCACCUUCUGCGCAUUCCUAUGAAGUCAGACACUGCGAAAGGGCUGAGAUUGUCCCCUCUUGCCAGGGAACGAGGUAGCCUGUGCUGGUUCCAUGCACACAUCUGACCAAAGAUCGCAGGGCUCGGUUCAGAGACACAGACUGUGUGUUCUUCACAGCAGAAAGCAGUAGCUCUGCAAGCUCCUGGGUUGGUCCCCACCAUCCCGAUUCCCAUGGGCCACGCAGAGGGCCAGGUGCUCGCCUGCAGCUGUGCAGGUUGCGCCGCAGGAGGGGAGCCCUGAAUUGGGAGCUGGAGCUUUCCUUGAGGUGACUUCAUGACCUGCCGUCCUCCCCUCCAUAGACAUGACCUGGAAUGUCACUCGCUGCCCAGGGGCUGAGGGAAAAGCUCUCUUGGGCUGUAACGCUGGAAGGCGAUUCCAGGGGGGUAGAGCGAGGUGUCUUUCAUGUACCAUAUUCGCCACUCCACGAGGCCCGUGGACGUAGAGGAGAGGAUCCAUCCUAUGGUGGUAAGGGCGAAGACUGAAAAUUGGCAGUCGGCACUGUUGCAGAACCAGACCAUGGUGGCAGCGCACCCAGGAAACUACAAACAAAUACAGAGCAUGGUGAGCGGGGGGACCCUGGGACCUGGGACAGCCUCCCAUGGGUGAGUAGCGCCAAGAGGGAGGUGUUGUAUUGGAGAAAGGAGACACUAGACCCUCUAGAUCUGCUGGUGGGAGUGCAGUCUGAGCAAACUUUGUGCAGGGCCGCUCCGCGAUAUUUCCCGAAAGCUUUAAAAUGCACACACCUUCAGACUGGCAGUUCCACUUCUGGGCAUUGGUGCAAAGACAUGAAUAAGGUCGGCCACAAAUAUGUAGCCACAAAGAUGGUCCUCACAGCAUUGCUUGUAAUAUUGGAAACCGGGGAACAACGUCAAGUCCAACAACAGGGCUUGGUGAAGGAAUUUAUGCUAUGUCCACGCGAUGGAGCUAUACGCCAACAUUGACAAUACAAAUGGAAUCAUACAAGGUAUAAGAGUUUUGUGUGGCUCUUUUCACAUGGCACGUUUCCAAGGGUCAUCCAUGUUGCAGCAGGUAUGAGAAGGUUGUCCCUUUUCAUUGCUGAAUGGUGUUCCAUUGUGUGGGUAGACCACAGUUUGUUCAUUCAUCAGCUUUUGGACAUUUGGUUUGGUGCCAUGUUUUGGCCAUUAUAAACUAUGCUGUCAUGAACACUUGAAUAUAAAAGUUUGUAUGGGCAUAUGUCCUUGUUUAUCUGGUGUAGAUGCCUAGGAGUGAAAUUGGUGGUUCAUAUGUUAAGUGCGCAUUUAACUUUUUGUAAAUUGCUCAACUGUUUUCCCACGUGGCUGCACCAUUUUAUAUUCCCACCAGCAAUGAUGGAGGUUCCAGUUUCUUCAUAUUUUCUCCAACAUUUGGUAUUUUUAAUGUUUUUCAUGACAGCCAUUCUAGUUGACAUUCUGUGUGACCAAAAGGGAGGUGUCCGUAAUAUUUCAAAUACAAAUUACAUGUUUCAAAAUAAUAUGUACGAUAUAAUCAUAGAUACAAAUCGAACUGAAAAUCUACAUCCUAAGCUAUUAGGAGACAUUUUUAACUGGGUUUGAGAGAUUCUGAGUUUUUUCUAAGCUAUUUGGAUUGUGAAGGGUCACACACAUAUAGAAAAGCACACAAGUGUGCAGCUCAAUGAACGAUGGUGGGGUGAACACCCAUGGAGCCAGCAUUUCAUUUCAGAUACACAAUAUUCCCACUUCCUUGCUUGCUUUCAUAGUUUUGUCAUCUCAGCAUGCAUCCCCACACAUCUUACUUCUAUUUUGCCUGUUUUUCAAAAUGGGGAUCAUACGGUCAAUGCUUUUGUGUGACUGGUUUCUUUCACGCAAUGUUGUGUCCAUUUAUGACACUCAGAUUGUAAUUUUUUAAAGGUGCCUGGCUGUUCAGUAUUUUCAAAUAUUUCUGCAAUAAGCAUGAUUAUUUAAAACAAGAAAACAAUAAAAAAUAUUUCACAAAACAGUUGUCUCGGG
Molecule: long non-coding RNA, 2087 nt
Filed under: Homo sapiens (human)
Lineage: Eukaryota; Metazoa; Chordata; Mammalia; Primates; Hominidae
Description: HSALNT0280089
Source: RNAcentral